This 748-nucleotide ribosomal RNA is filed under the name uncultured archaeon. Its description in RNAcentral is "bacterial SSU rRNA". It matches the Rfam family "Archaeal small subunit ribosomal RNA", at positions 88 to 838 of the family's 1478-position model. The record is from RNAcentral.
GCUCAGUAACACGUGGACAACGUACCCUAAAGUGGAGCAUAAUCUCGGGAAACUGAGGAUAAUUCUCCAUAGACCAUGAGAUCUGGAAUGACUUAUGGUUCAAAGUUCCGGCGCUUUAGGAUCGGUCUGCGGCCUAUCAGGUAGUAGUGGGUGUAACGUACCCCCUAGCCGUUGACGGGUAUGGGCCUUGAGAGAGGGAGCCCAGAGUUGGAUUCUGAGACACGAAUCCAGGCCCUACGGGGCGCAGCAGUCGCGAAAACUUCACAAUGGGCGAAAGCCCGAUGAGGGAAUUCCUAGUGCUAGCACAUUAGUGUUAGCUUUUCCUUAGCGUAGAUAACUAGGGGAAUAAGGGCUGGGUAAGACGGGUGCCAGCCGCCGCGGUAAUACCCGCAGCCCGAGUGGUGGUCGAUUUUAUUGAGUCUAAAACGUUCGUAGCCGGUCUGAUAAAUCCUUGGGUAAAUCGGGAAGCUUAACUUUCCGAAUUCCGAGGAGACUGUCAGGCUUGGGAUCGAGAGAGGUAUGAGGUACUUCAGGGGUAGGGGUAAAAUCCUGUAAUCCUUGGAGGACCACCGGUGGCGAAGGCGUCAUACUAGAACGAAUCCGACGGUGAGGGACGAAGCCCUAGGUCGCAAACGGGAUUAGGUACCCCGGUAGUCUAGGGUGUAAACGCUGCAGACUUGGUGUUGGAGGCCCUUCGGGGGCAUUCAGUGCCGGAGAGAAGUUGUUAAGUCUGCUACUUGGGGAGUAC